UGGGGAAUAUUGGACAAUGGGCGCAAGCCUGAUCCAGCCAUGCCGCGUGAGUGAUGAAGGCCCUAGGGUUGUAAAGCUCUUUCACCGGUGAAGAUAAUGACGUUAACGGGAGAAAAAGCCCCGCCUAACUUCUUGCCAGCAGCCGCGGUAAUACGAAGGGGGCUAGCGUUGUUCGGAUUUACUGGGCGUAAAGCGCACGUAGGCGGACUUUUAAGUCAGGGGUGAAAUCCCGGGGCUCAACCCCGGAACUGCCUUUGAUACUGGAAGUCUUGAGUAUGGUAGAGGUGAGUGGAAUUCCGAGUGUAGAGGUGAAAUUCGUAGAUAUUCGGAGGAACACCAGUGGCGAAGGCGGCUCACUGGACCAUUACUGACGCUGAGGUGCGAAAGCGUGGGGAGCAAACAGG
RNAcentral lists this ribosomal RNA (404 nucleotides) under Actinomycetes bacterium. Its description in RNAcentral is "Actinobacteria bacterium partial 16S ribosomal RNA". It matches the Rfam family "Bacterial small subunit ribosomal RNA", at positions 355 to 776 of the family's 1533-position model. The record is from RNAcentral. Lineage: Bacteria; Bacillati; Actinomycetota; Actinomycetes.